RNAcentral lists this ribosomal RNA (654 nucleotides) under uncultured bacterium. RNAcentral's name for it is "bacterial SSU rRNA". It matches the Rfam family "Bacterial small subunit ribosomal RNA", at positions 202 to 842 of the family's 1533-position model. The record is from RNAcentral.
AAAAGGCGGCGUAAGCUGUCGCUAAAGGAUGGACCCGCGGUGCAUUAGCUAGUUGGUAAGGUAACGGCUUACCAAGGCGACGAUGCAUAGCCGAGUUGAGAGACUGAUCGGCCACAUUGGGACUGAGACACGGCCCAAACUCCUACGGGAGGCAGCAGUAGGGAAUCUUCCACAAUGGGCGAAAGCCUGAUGGAGCAACGCCGCGUGAGUGAAGAAGGUUUUCGGAUCGUAAAGCUCUGUUGUUGGUGAAGAAGGAUAGAGGUAGUAACUGGCCCCUAUUUGACGGUAAUCAACCAGAAAGUCACGGCUAACUACGUGCCAGCAGCCGCGGUAAUACGUAGGUGGCAAGCGUUGUCCGGAUUUAUUGGGCGUAAAGCGAGCGCAGGCGGAAAGAUAAGUCUGAUGUGGAAGCCCCCGGCUUAACCGAGGAAUUGCAUCAGAAACUGUGUUUCUUGAGUGCAGAAGAGGAGAGUGGAACUCCAUGUGUAGCGGUGGAAUGCGUAGAUAUAUGGAAGAACACCAGUGGCGAAGGCGGCUCUCUGGUCUGUAACUGACGCUGAGGCUCGAAAGCAUGGGUAGCGAACAGGAUUAGAUACCCUGGUAGUCCAUGCCGUAAACGAUGAGUGCUAAGUGUUGGGAGGUUUCCGCCUCUCA